Molecule: microRNA precursor, 103 nt
Filed under: Tupaia belangeri (northern tree shrew)
Lineage: Eukaryota; Metazoa; Chordata; Mammalia; Scandentia; Tupaiidae
Description: miRNA (ENSTBEG00000021249.1)
Source: RNAcentral
GAAGUUUCCUCAGGAUAGUGGCGCUUUCGCAGAUCGACUCGUCCCGCAGUUUUAUCCGGUUAAAGCGAAUGAAUAGAGGUCUUGGGGCCGAAACGAUCUCAAC